CAGGCCUACACAUGCAAGUCGAGCGGCAGCACAGAGGAACUUGUUCCUUGGGUGGCGAGCGGCGGACGGGUGAGUAAUGCCUAGGAAAUUGCCCUGAUGUGGGGGAUAACCAUUGGAAACGAUGGCUAAUACCGCAUGAUGCCUACGGGCCAAAGAGGGGGACCUUCGGGCCUCUCGCGUCAGGAUAUGCCUAGGUGGGAUUAGCUAGUUGGUGAGGUAAUGGCUCACCAAGGCGACGAUCCCUAGCUGGUCUGAGAGGAUGAUCAGCCACACUGGAACUGAGACACGGUCCAGACUCCUACGGGAGGCAGCAGUGGGGAAUAUUGCACAAUGGGCGCAAGCCUGAUGCAGCCAUGCCGCGUGUAUGAAGAAGGCCUUCGGGUUGUAAAGUACUUUCAGUCGUGAGGAAGGUGGUGUUGUUAA
This 423-nucleotide ribosomal RNA is filed under the name Vibrio anguillarum. RNAcentral describes it as "bacterial SSU rRNA". It matches the Rfam family "Bacterial small subunit ribosomal RNA", at positions 43 to 463 of the family's 1533-position model. Lineage: Bacteria; Pseudomonadati; Pseudomonadota; Gammaproteobacteria; Vibrionales; Vibrionaceae. The record is from RNAcentral.